AGUAGGGAAUUUUCCACAAUGGACGAAAGUCUGAUGGAGCAACGCCGCGUGAACGAUGAAGGUCUUCGGAUUGUAAAGUUCUGUUGUCAGGGACGAACACGUACCGUUCGAAUAGGGCGGUACCUUGACGGUACCUGACGAGAAAGCCACGGCUAACUACGUGCCAGCAGCCGCGGUAAUACGUAGGUGGCAAGCGUUGUCCGGAUUUAUUGGGCGUAAAGCGCGCGCAGGCGGCUAUGUAAGUCUGGUGUUAAAGCCCGGGGCUCAACCCCGGUUCGCAUCGGAAACUGUGUAGCUUGAGUGCAGAAGAGGAAAGCGGUAUUCCACGUGUAGCGGUGAAAUGCGUAGAGAUGUGGAGGAACACCAGUGGCGAAGGCGGC
Molecule: ribosomal RNA, 380 nt
Filed under: Brevibacillus agri
Lineage: Bacteria; Bacillati; Bacillota; Bacilli; Caryophanales; Paenibacillaceae
Description: bacterial SSU rRNA
Rfam family: Bacterial small subunit ribosomal RNA
Source: RNAcentral